GACGAACGCUGGCGGCGUGCUUAACACAUGCAAGUCGAACGGAAAGGCCCUGCUUUUGUGGGGUGCUCGAGUGGCGAACGGGUGAGUAACACGUGAGUAACCUGCCCUUGACUUUGGGAUAACUUCAGGAAACUGGGGCUAAUACCGGAUAGGAGCUCCUGCUGCAUGGUGGGGGUUGGAAAGUUUCGGCGGUUGGGGAUGGACUCGCGGCUUAUCAGCUUGUUGGUGGGGUAGUGGCUUACCAAGGCUUUGACGGGUAGCCGGCCUGAGAGGGUGACCGGCCACAUUGGGACUGAGAUACGGCCCAGACUCCUACGGGAGGCAGCAGUGGGGAAUAUUGCACAAUGGGCGGAAGCCUGAUGCAGCAACGCCGCGUGCGGGAUGACGGCCUUCGGGUUGUAAACCGCUUUCGCCUGUGACGAAGCGUGAGUGACGGUAAUGGGUAAAGAAGCACCGGCUAACUACGUGCCGGCAGCCGCGGUGAUACGUAGGGUGCGAGCGUUGUCCGGAUUUAUUGGGCGUAAAGGGCUCGUAGGUGGUUGAUCGCGUCGGAAGUGUAAUCUUGGGGCUUAACCCUGAGCGUGCUUUCGAUACGGGUUGACUUGAGGAAGGUAGGGGAGAAUGGAAUUCCUGGUGGAGCGGUGGAAUGCGCAGAUAUCAGGAGGAACACCAGUGGCGAAGGCGGUUCUCUGGGCCUUUCCUGACGCUGAGGAGCGAAAGCGUGGGGAGCGAACAGGCUUAGAUACCCUGGUAGUCCACGCUGUAAACGGUGGGUACUAGGUGUGGGGUCCAUUCCACGGGUUCCGUGCCGUAGCUAACGCUUUAAGUACCCCGCCUGGGGAGUACGGCCGCAAGGCUAAAACUCAAAGGAAUUGACGGGGCCCCGCACAAGCGGCGGAGCAUGCGGAUUAAUUCGAUGCAACGCGUAGAACCUUACCUGGGUUUGACAUGGAUCGGGAGCGCUCAGAGAUGGGUGUGCCUCUUUUGGGGUCGGUUCACAGGUGGUGCAUGGCUGUCGUCAGCUCGUGUCGUGAGAUGUUGGGUUAAGUCCCGCAACGAGCGCAACCCUUGUUCACUGUUGCCAGCACGUUAUGGUGGGGACUCAGUGGAGACCGCCGGGGUCAACUCGGAGGAAGGUGGGGAUGACGUCAAGUCAUCAUGCCCCUUAUGUCCAGGGCUUCACGCAUGCUACAAUGGCUGGUACAGAGAGUGGCGAGCCUGUGAGGGUGAGCGAAUCUCGGAAAGCCGGUCUCAGUUCGGAUUGGGGUCUGCAACUCGACCUCAUGAAGUCGGAGUCGCUAGUAAUCGCAGAUCAGCAACGCUGCGGUGAAUACGUUCCCGGG
RNAcentral lists this ribosomal RNA (1343 nucleotides) under uncultured bacterium. RNAcentral's name for it is "16S ribosomal RNA". It matches the Rfam family "Bacterial small subunit ribosomal RNA", at positions 28 to 1378 of the family's 1533-position model. The record is from RNAcentral.